RNAcentral lists this long non-coding RNA (4877 nucleotides) under Mus musculus (house mouse). Its description in RNAcentral is "long non-coding RNA chr17:16957318-16962195". Lineage: Eukaryota; Metazoa; Chordata; Mammalia; Rodentia; Muridae. The record is from RNAcentral.
AGUUGUCUUCAAGAAUGAGUCCCUGAGGUGAGUUUUCAGUGAGUAAUUUUCCCCCUAAAGUCAGCAUGAGAUCGUUAGAGACCUCUUUGGCCAACACCUCAAGGAAAUGCAAACCUUUCUUCACAGUGCUGGCUAUAAAGAUGGCCAGUUCAGAAACUCCUUUAGUCGGGGUCAAUAGGAUCGCCCUCAUUGUUUCCUGAAGGUUUUCAGUACACUGGGUUCCUAUACUAACCUGGAAAUUCCCCCUAAUUCCAGCUCUUUCUUCUUGCAUCUCCUGCUUUCUUCCUACAUUCCCAUCUAAAUGAUCCCUCCCACUUCUUUUCACAUUCACCCCAAUCUAACCAUGGAAUCUGUUCUUUUUCCCCUUUCCAGAAAGGUGCAUGCUUCCCUCUCUAUCUCUCCUCUUCCUCUAACCUAUCAGGGUCUGUAGAAGGUAGCAGCUGAGUGAUAGUCCAUGGUGUCAAUGUACCUUUUUUUUUUUUCAUCCAUUCUUCAGCUGUGGGACAUAUAAUCUUGUUUUUAGUAUUUGGCUAGUACAAAUAAAUCUCCUAUCAACAGAGUUGAUCAAGUCUUCCUGUGGUAUUGUAGAUGGAGAAACUUUUACACCUAUGCAUGUCUUAGGUGUUUAUUGCUGUGAAAAGACAAGAUGACGAAGGCACCUCUUAUAAGGACAACAUUUAAUUGAGGCUGGCUUACAGAUUCAGAGAUUCUUUCCAUUAUCGUCAAGGCAGGAGCAGCAACAUCCUUCCAGGCGUGGGGCAGGCGGAGCUGAGAGUAGAUUGGCUCCCAGGCAGCUAGCAUAUAGGUUUUAAAGUCCAAGCCCACAGUGGCACACCUGCUCCAACAAGGUCACAACUACUCCAACAAUACCACACCUCCUAAUAAGGCCACUAUCUGAGUCAAGAAUAUCCAGACCACCAUAAUGCCAAAAGAGAGUGGUAUAUCUGGGUAUUGGGGUAGAUGGAUUCCCCUUUUUCUGACAACCAUGAUAUUGAUUUACAGUGUCUGUUUUACUUUGCACUCUCACAACCUGUAGAGGUGUGGUCUCAUUGAUCUAUAUUCUCUUUAAUAAGAACAGUCACUUCUGUUAUUGAUCUUAACUAUUCUGACAUUUUUAAUGACAUAAAAGGUUUCCUUUCCAUUUCUAUAAUGUUGAAUAUUUGUUUCUAAGCCAUUGAAGAUACCUCUGUUUAGAAGUCUUUGUUUAUAUAUGAACCCUGCUUUUUAUCUGUUUUUGUUCGUUUUUAUUUUGACUAUCUAGAUUCUCGAGUCAGUAUAUAUUUUUGUAUAUUAUGUCUCAUAUUUUUAUAUUAUAUAACACUAUGAGAUGUGGAUAUGGCAAAAAUCUUUUCCCAUUUUUUAGACUGUCUCUUGUCCCACUGACUGGAUUUUUGCCUUCCAGAAACAUCACAGUUGCAUGAUGUCCAAUUUACUAAUUACUGAUCUUAUUGCCUGAGCUAUUCGUGUUCUUCCCAUAAGAACAGUAAUGUGUCUCCUGUGACAGUGCACUCAAGGCCAUUGCCCGCUUUCUCUUCUAUCAGGUCCUGUGUGUCUGGUUUUAUUUUAAGUGUUUAAUCCUCUUGGACAUCUAUUUUGUUCAGGGUAAAGAAUAUAGACUUGUUUGCAUUCUUCUGCAUGUAGUGCAUGUUAUCGUUUAACAAACACCACUUGUUGAAGGUGCUGUGGGGUUUUUGGUAUGUUUUGUUUGUUUCUUUGUUUAUUGUUGUUGGCUUUUUUUGUAUGUUUUUUGAUUCCUUAGCAAUCACCAGGUGUGUGUAUGUCAUAGGAAUUAUAUCUGUGUCUACAUCUCUAUUCCAUUAAUCAACUGUCUGUUUGUGUGCCAAUAUGUUGCACGUAUUUUAUUGUAAUAGAUGGCUUUGGCUCUCCUGGGUUUUUGUCCUAGGAGCUGGAAACUAUCCUUUCAAGGUCUAUUACUAUCUACUUUUUUAAUUUUGAAGGGGAUUUUAUGGAAUUUGUAGAUUACUUUUGGCAAGAUGGCUAUUAAUCAUACUAAUCUAUGAGCAUGAGAGAUUUCCUCAUCUUCUUAUAUCUGCUUCAGUUUCUUCACAUAAUUGAACUUUUUUAUUAUUUUUUGGUUUUUCUGUUUGUUUGUGUGUUUGUUUGUUUGUUUGUUUUGCUCUAGACAGGGUUUAUCUGUGCAGUCCUGGCUGUCCUGGAACUCACUCUGUAGACCAGGCUGGCCUCGAUCUCAAAAAUCCACCUGCCUCUGCCUCCCAAGCACUGGGAUUAAAGGCGUGUGCCACCACUGCCCGGCAUAGUUGAACUUUUUAUCAUGCAUGUACUUCAAUUUCAGUUUUAAAGUUACUGUAACCUUUUUACAUUAUUUGAAGCUGUUUUGUUUCUCUGAUUUUGCUUUGAGUCUAUUUGUCAUUUCUAUAUGGGAGACAUAGGAGAGGACUACUGAUUUACUUACUUAUUUAUAUAUUUAUUUGAUUGUUUGUUUAUUUAUUAGUUAACCUUGUAUCAAGCCAUUUUCCUGAAAGUAUUUAUAACCUAUAUAAAGUUGGUAUUGGAAUUUUUAGGGUCACUAAUGUAUAUUAUCGUAUGAUGAAUUCUAAUUAUGAUAUUUUGACUUCUUACUUUCCAAAUUAUUAUUUCAGAUUGUGGUUUUCUUCAUUUAUUUAAAGGUUUUGUGUUACCUGUUUAAGGGCUUCUACCUAUUUCUCUAUAUUCUCCUGUAUUUCUUUAGGGGAGAUAUUUAUUUCCUCCUUAAGAUCCUCUAUCAUUUCUGUGAGGUGGGAUUUUAGAUCAUAAUCUUGCUUUUCAAAUGGAUUACAAUAUCCAGCGUUUACUGUGUUGGGAGAAUUGGGUUGUGAUGUUGCCAAGUACCAUUGGUUUCUGUAACUUAUGUUCUUGUGUUUGCCUCACACCAUCCUGUUAUCUCUGUUGUUAUGUGACGUUGUUGUCUCUGACUGGUGCUUGUCCCUCCUAAGAACCUGGUUAUGUUGGGCCUCCUUGGAUCACGAUGUAUCUCGGUGUGGGAGGGGGUCUGGAGCACCUGAUCUGUGAUCCUGGCUGUGGCAGACAUCCUGGGAGUCAAGCUGACUCUGGGUCUAGGCGGAGCUAGUGUACUGGUGCAGUUCCAGGGCACUGUUUUAGACUAGAAGUGUGUAUCUCUGGCAGGGUGGGAGUUUCUGUGUCUUCUGUAUGUGGAAGACUCAGCUGUGAGUCUGGUAAUGUCAGAACUUCUGGGAGUCAUGCUGUGAGAUGUGUGCAUGGGAGGGAAGGGGGUGCUGGAGCACACAGUCUUAUGUCACUGUUUCUAAUGGGUGUUUUCUGUACUUAUGAAAGUGAUUGUGUGUAUGUGUGUGUGUGUGUGUGUGUGUGUGUGUGUGUGUGAGUAUGAGUGUGCACACAGGCAUGCAAGUUCAUGCCCUUUCAAGAAUUCCACAUAUAUAAAAGUAAAACAUGAAAAGUAAAAUUUCCAGAGCAUUUGAGAAUGCUCCCUGCUUUUACUGAUGACCCAAAUUGAAUACCUAGCAUUCAAAUCCUUUGGCAUCUGUCUUUAGAGUAUGGUAUCCAACUCUUUCUUCUGGCUUUCUGUGACUCUGAGAUUUGGUAGCUACCUGUGGGGAAAAAAAACAUCAAAUAAAAGGUGGAUUCCAUGUAGGUGAAGCAAGUAAUGGUUUUGGAUAGCCCAUAAGACCUAAAUAUUCCACACAGUUUAUUACCAAUAUAAAGUCUUCAGACCAGCAGGUUAAGCCAACACCCAAGUAUUUGGAGAUCUCGGUGUACUCUUGAGGAUCAAGAACACAGGGCAUUUAAAGGCCUUGUCCUCACAUCAGACUUAACAGCUUCUUGGAGAUGACACAUACAAUUUUAUAAUAGCUAAGUAAUUAUGAAAACCUGACCGUAGAAUGUUACAAUUAAUUUUGGUGUUUAUGCAUUGAAUUUGCCAUCAAGUGUAUCAAAUUUUAGUUAAAUCUGAAAUUACCUCAACAACUGGAGAAACCUUUGAAUGGACCUGCCAUUUCAAGGACUUAUGAAUUAGUCCAUAUGCUCUCAUCAACAUUCAAUUGUGUGUAAUGAUAUAUAAAGGAAAGCUUUUAUGUCUGGCUUUAAAUGAAAUGCAGAGUAAAUCCUUUGUGUUUGGAUGAGUGAAAUGUUUUGGUGAAGCAUUUGCUUAAUCAGUAAGUUUGGUUUAAUAAGUAUAGGCUGAGAAAUGGUUUUGAGACUGUUUGAACUUUGAGGAAAUGUUGUCUGCAUAGAAAUACACACUUGGUGAUAGGUGGAACUCGCACAGAAUUUGUUUCUAAGACACUCGUGGGCAAUCCUGAAGUUCUCACUUUUGGUUUUGCCUUGAGACUUGUGUGGCUUGUGUGUUCUCACAGACAGAAAGGGCAAUAAAACUUUAGCAGUUUGAACUUUCCCAGCUCCAAGUAACCUUGUAUAAUAUUUGAAAAAAAGGACUGAGUCAGCUAGCUGGGUGUCAGUGUUUCCAAGGAGGAUGAACCUCUCUGCACCUUUGGCAAAAUGAAGGCUUAGCAAUUUGUUGAGCUCCCUUCUCCACUGCUGGCACCUAAAAUCAACAAUUGUGAAUCAAGGCAGACCUAUAGCUAUGGAGCUAACAUGAUUUGGACAGUGAUGCCAGUCAUGUGGGCCACAAUAGGCCUUUCAUUUUUGUAGUUUAUUUUCCCAAUGUCUUAGGAACUUUUGUGAUUUGCUUCUAUAUUACUUUAUAGAAUGGCAUAAAAAUAUCAUUCUUACUCACACAGACCCCUGUACACUUCAUUGUCUGAAAUUGUUUGUUUAAAUCAUCUUUCAUUGCUUACAGUGUUCUCAAUUGUGUUUUGAGGGUUACAUAUCCCUUGGAAAAUACUGCACAUAUAUAUUGAAAAAAUAUUAGACCCUAUAGU